RNAcentral lists this long non-coding RNA (2310 nucleotides) under Felis catus (domestic cat). RNAcentral describes it as "lncRNA (ENSFCAG00000049414.1)". The record is from RNAcentral. Lineage: Eukaryota; Metazoa; Chordata; Mammalia; Carnivora; Felidae.
UUUAAACCAGUUCUUGAAAUCAUCCACUCUUGUUAUAUCUGUAGGUUCAAAUCUUCCAAUAAAAAGUGUAGAAUUUAGGGGCGCCUGGGUGGCUCAGUCGGUUGAGCGUCCGACUUCAGCUCAGGUCAUGAUCUCACAGUCUGUGAGCUCGAGCCCGGCGUCGGGCUCUGUGCUGACAGCUCAGAGCCUGGAGCCUGUUUCAGAUUCUGUGUCUCUCUCUCUCUCUGUCAAAAAUAAAAUAAAAUAAACAUUAAAAAAUAAGUGUAGAAUUUAUAUUCUUUUUAUUACAGGAGUAUGGGGCCCAGAGUCCUUGGAAGCCUGUAUCUGAGAACCAUCUGGAUCAUAUUAUACAUUGAUUUGUUCUUGGCUUUGAAAAUGGUUUUAGUGUUGAUGCAACCUCAUUAAAAGUAUCUGCUAAAACACUCUGGUACAGUCCACGUGCCUGGCUUUUGAAACCCGCCCCAGCAACAAAAAUGCCCUUUGCAUAAUGCCCCCAUCAGCUUAUGGUGCACAAAAAUGUAAUCACAGGCUCGAGUCGCCAAUCAGUCAUUGCAGCACCUGAAAUCUUGUAAAGAGAUGAAGAAAAUAAGAAUGUUUACUUCCUUGGCUAUUUAAACUCACUGGUCCUUUCGAAUGGAUUUCCCCAACAGGACUCAGGGGACCGCAGCCCACCGGUCUGCUUGGUGAUGUGAAGGGGAGAGUUCCUGCCUAGCUCUGGCCCUUCGGUGGGGGGAGACGACCCAGCUGACCAGACUGCGUCCCAGAGCCGGGCUCGUACGUUAGCUUCAGUGGCCAGUGCCCCGUUACGCCGAAUGCCCUUGUAAAGGGAGGCUCCCCAAGUGCAUGUAACACAAGUCUUCACAGCAAGGCGGCGUGCAAGAGUUCGUCUCAUCGGAGGAUCUUCGCGCUGUCCUUCCGGAGUAAAAGAGCCGAAGGCGCUUGGGUGGCAAUUAAGCACGAACGCGCUCGUUUCCCGACGGGCCGAGCGUGCGACUCUCACCCAGGGAAAUCUCGCCCGGCGUCAGCGCUGCCCGGACAGGCAAUCGGAGCUUCCGCGGCGCCGAUGCGGGGCGGCUCUUCCAGGGCGAGAGGAAGCCCGCCGGGGGGGCUUGACCGGCAGGCACGUUUCUCGGGAGGAUGAGGACGAAAGGCCGCCGGCCCCAGCCCGACGUUUUGCCGGUCAGGGUAACAGGUUACACUUCGGAGCAGUUCGGAGGCUUCCAAUCGGUGGAAGCGCUGAGAAAGGGGUGCUCGGAAUGAAGAGCAAUCUUGCCCUCACGUGCACUGUGAGUGGUCUUCGUCCAAGCCAGGCUGUGUCCACAAGCUUCCAGCUGACAUUUGGAAGAAAGAUACGCUCCUUCUGAGCUGAUUUUGGAGGUAAGGCAUUCUGGGUGCAUCUGAGCGGCCCGGGAAGGGAGUGGGGUGAGGGACGGAUGCAGAGACAACCUGGUCCCCAUCUGCGCCUGACGACAUCCUCCAUGCCGCACUCAUUCUAGAAUCCAUUUCAAAGUAGUGCCCCUGGAGAUCCAAAGGCAAGCUCAGGGAAUGAGACAAAGUGCAGUGAUUUGGUAAAGAAGAUGCAUUUUCUAUUUCUUCUGGCUGGCCAAAGCUGCACACCCUUGCAAAGCUGUGUCCCCAGGGCCCCGAGUGGAGUGUGCUCCCUUCUCAGAGUGGCACCUGCUGAACUAGAGACAGAGGCGAUCGUCACCACUGGUCUGACAGGCACUUUUCCAGACCAGACUUUCCUGACCUCCGCUAGUCUAAGUAGAUGAUUCGAGUCACAGUAAGGGUUUCCAACGGUGCAUGGGCUUCCUCCAGGAAUGUGGCAGGGAGUUCGGCAUUUCUUUACCCCGAACCCCUUGAAGAAAGUCACCAGUGGGUCAGCGAGAGCCAUGUGACCAGCUCACACUCUGCAAAAGAAGCCAGGAGGGCAGAAAGCAAGCAAUGUAUCAGUGGCACAGAGUCACAGUGAGUGGAGACAGGCUGUUGUGUGAGCCAGUCCAGAUCAGCAGAACUCUGCUGUGAAAGAAGGAGGGAGGCAGGGAGGGCUGAAGGAAGGAAGGAAGAAGGAGGGAAGGAAGGAAGGAAGGGAGGGAAGGAGGGAGGGAGGGCAGAAGGAAGGAAGGAAGAAGGAGGGAAGGGAGGAGGAAAGAAAGGAAGGAAGGGAGGGAAGGAGGGAGAGAAGGGAAGAAAGGGCAAACCGUUGCCAUUAUUUAAAAAAAAAAUCCUGCAUUUUGCCACCUAUAGGAGGCAUACUUGAAGUAAAAAUUGUAAGUGUAAGAGAACAAACUGAGGGUUGCUGGAGGGGAC